CCUACGGGAGGCAGCAGUGAGGAAUAUUGGUCAAUGGACGCAAGUCUGAACCAGCCAUGCCGCGUGCAGGAUGACGGCUCUAUGAGUUGUAAACUGCUUUUGUACGAGGGUAAACCCCGAUACGUGUAUCGGGUUGAAUGUAUCCUACGAAUAAGGAUCGGCUAACUCCGUGCCAGCAGCCGCGGUAAUACGGAGGAUCCGAGCGUUAUCCGGAUUUAUUGGGUUUAAAGGGUGCGUAGGCGGGUUGAUAAGUUAGAGGUGAAAGGUCGGGGCUCAACCCCGGAACUGCCGCUGAUAAUGGUGGACUAGAGAAUAGUUGCGGUAGGCGGAAUGUAUGGUGUAGCGGUGAAAUGCUUAGAGAUCAUACAGAACACCGAUUGCGAAGGCAGCUUACCAAGCUAUAUCUGACGUUGAGGCACGAAAGCGUGGGUAGCAAACAGGAUUAGAUACCCUUGUAGUC
RNAcentral lists this ribosomal RNA (460 nucleotides) under uncultured bacterium. Its description in RNAcentral is "partial 16S ribosomal RNA". It matches the Rfam family "Bacterial small subunit ribosomal RNA", at positions 338 to 795 of the family's 1533-position model. The record is from RNAcentral.